Molecule: small nucleolar RNA, 120 nt
Organism: Sphaeramia orbicularis (orbiculate cardinalfish)
Lineage: Eukaryota; Metazoa; Chordata; Actinopteri; Kurtiformes; Apogonidae
Product: small nucleolar RNA snR73
Exons: 1
Source: RefSeq, a predicted model, not a curated record
GUUUAAAAUGAUUUUUUUUCGGCUCAGCUUGAUCCUCUUAACCAAUUAGCAUGUUCUUACAAUGUUUAUUUAAGAACUCUAAUGAAAUAAUGACAGUGACAGGGUAUUUAACGCUUGAUU